This 98-nucleotide signal recognition particle RNA is filed under the name Steroidobacteraceae bacterium. RNAcentral describes it as "signal recognition particle sRNA small type". It matches the Rfam family "Bacterial small signal recognition particle RNA". Rfam says of the family: The signal recognition particle (SRP) is a universally conserved ribonucleoprotein involved in the co-translational targeting of proteins to membranes. Archaeal SRP consists of a 7S RNA and homologues of the eukaryotic SRP19 and SRP54 proteins. In most bacteria, the SRP consists of a 4.5S RNA and the Ffh protein (a homologue of the eukaryotic SRP54 protein). Lineage: Bacteria; Pseudomonadati; Pseudomonadota; Gammaproteobacteria; Steroidobacterales; Steroidobacteraceae. The record is from RNAcentral.
CGUUUGCAUCUUCGCGACGACCGGCCGCGAAACCCGUCAGGCCCGGAAGGGAGCAGCGGUAACGGCUUAGGUCGGGCGCCGAAGUCCUGCGGGCGCGG